Molecule: ribosomal RNA, 460 nt
Filed under: uncultured bacterium
Lineage: Bacteria
Description: partial 16S ribosomal RNA
Rfam family: Bacterial small subunit ribosomal RNA
Source: RNAcentral
CCUACGGGUGGCAGCAGUGAGGAAUAUUGGUCAAUGGACGAGAGUCUGAACCAGCCAAGUAGCGUGAAGGAUGACUGCCCUAUGGGUUGUAAACUUCUUUUAUAUGGGAAUAAAAUGUUCCACGUGUGGGAUUUUGUAUGUACCAUAUGAAUAAGGAUCGGCUAACUCCGUGCCAGCAGCCGCGGUAAUACGGAGGAUCCGAGCGUUAUCCGGAUUUAUUGGGUUUAAAGGGAGCGUAGGUGGAUUGUUAAGUCAGUUGUGAAAGUUUGCGGCUCAACCGUAAAAUUGCAGUUGAAACUGGCAGUCUUGAGUACAGUAGAGGUGGGCGGAAUUCGUGGUGUAGCGGUGAAAUGCUUAGAUAUCACGAAGAACUCCGAUUGCGAAGGCAGUUCACUGGACUGCAACUGACACUGAGGCUCGAAAGUGUGGGUAUCAAACAGGAUUAGAUACUCUUGUAGUC